RNAcentral lists this ribosomal RNA (301 nucleotides) under uncultured bacterium. Its description in RNAcentral is "partial 16S ribosomal RNA". It matches the Rfam family "Bacterial small subunit ribosomal RNA", at positions 509 to 809 of the family's 1533-position model. The record is from RNAcentral.
CAGCAGCCGCGGUAAAACGGAGGGUGCAAGCGUUAAUCGGAAUUACUGGGCGUAAAGCGCACGCAGGCGGUCUGACAAGUCAGAUGUGAAAUCCCCGGGCUUAACCUGGGAACUGCAUUUGAAACUGUCAGGCUGGAGUCUUGUAGAGGGGGGUGGAAUUCCAGGUGUAGCGGUGAAAUGCGUAGAGAUCUGGAGGAAUACCGGUGGCGAAGGCGGCCCCCUGGACAAAGACUGACGCUCAGGUGCGAAAGCGUGGGGAGCAAACAGGAUUAGAUACCCGUGUAGUCCCUGUCUCUUAUAU